AAGUCGUAACAAGGUUUCCGUAGGUGAACCUGCGGAAGGAUCAUUAUCAAUGAUAUCCAUCAUACACCGUGAACUUUUAAUUUUUUGGGGAUGAUCUUUUAUUAGAUCUCCCCCCAAAAAAAAUUUAAACACUAUAAUUUUUAAAGCAGAGUCAAUUAUGAAAAUAAUUUAGACAACUUUUAGCAACGGAUCUCUAGGUUCUC
This 203-nucleotide unclassified non-coding RNA is filed under the name fungal sp. Its description in RNAcentral is "partial internal transcribed spacer region". The stretch from base 1 to 46 matches the Rfam family "Eukaryotic small subunit ribosomal RNA", at positions 1786 to 1831 of the family's 1831-position model. Lineage: Eukaryota; Fungi. The record is from RNAcentral.